This 857-nucleotide ribosomal RNA is filed under the name uncultured bacterium. Its description in RNAcentral is "bacterial SSU rRNA". It matches the Rfam family "Bacterial small subunit ribosomal RNA", at positions 8 to 853 of the family's 1533-position model. The record is from RNAcentral.
AGAGUUUGAUCCUGGCUCAGAUUGAACGCUGGCGGCAGGCUUCCACACAUGCAAGUCGAACGGUAACAGGAAGGAAGCUUGCUUUCUUUGCUGACGAGUGGCGGACGGGUGAGUAAUGCUUGGGAAUCUGGCUUAUGGAGGGGGAUAACUACGGGAAACUGUAGCUAAUACCGCGUAAUAUCUUCGGAUUAAAGGGUGGGACUUUCGGGCCACCUGCCAUAAGAUGAGCCCAAGUGGGAUUAGGUAGUUGGUGGGGUAAAGGCCUACCAAGCCGACGAUCUCUAGCUGGUCUGAGAGGAUGACCAGCCACACUGGAACUGAGACACGGUCCAGACUCCUACGGGAGGCAGCAGUGGGGAAUAUUGCACAAUGGGGGGAACCCUGAUGCAGCCAUGCCGCGUGAAUGAAGAAGGCCUUCGGGUUGUAAAGUUCUUUCGGUGAUGAGGAAGGUGUUUGUUUUAAUAGAACAAGCAAUUGACGUUAGUCACAGAAGAAGCACCGGCUAACUCCGUGCCAGCAGCCGCGGUAAUACGGAGGGUGCGAGCGUUAAUCGGAAUGACUGGGCGUAAAGGGCACGCAGGCGGUGACUUAAGUGAGAUGUGAAAGCCCCGAGCUUAACUUGGGAAUUGCGUUUCAUACUGGGUCGCUAGAGUAUUUUAGGGAGGGGUAGAAUUCCACGUGUAGCGGUGAAAUGCGUAGAGAUGUGGAGGAAUACCGAAGGCGAAGGCAGCCCCUUGGGAAUAUACUGACGCUCAUGUGCGAAAGCGUGGGGAGCAAACAGGAUUAGAUACCCUGGUAGUCCACGCUGUAAACGCUGUCGAUUUGGGGAUUGGGCUUAGAGCUUGGUGCCCGUAGCU